CUGUUUAUUAAGUGACGCAUUUUUUCAGUUUUAGAUUUCGAACUGAUAGCGGCUCUGACAUUGUGGAUCUCUUUGUGUAUGGAAGUGUUCCAGAUUCCCAGGUUCAGUGAACUCGUCAUUGGCGUUCAGUCCCCGGUAGCUGAUUUGCGGAGAGACGCUCGGGCGCGGUGACAGCUGUUGGACAGGUAGCCUAACGAUGCUAGCGUUAGCUUUAGCCAAGCUAGCAACUGCAUCAAGUAGCUCCGAGACAAAGUUAAUUUCGAUUUGAAAUGGGAGAAAGUAAAGCAGCCGCCGCUCGUGGUAACACCCGGAUGAAACACUUCAAGCCUCGGGUUAUCUGUGUUGUUCCUUCCAACUAUUAGCUUAUUAGAUGUUGUUCAGCAAACAUUUCAGUAAUCACACCUGUAAGCUUAACCAGCACUUACGUGCUCAAACUUAAAAUGCCCUGAUUUACGCAUAUUAGCUUUAAUCUCCAAGGUCUCUGAAGUGUUCGUGCCGUGUUAAACUGUGAAAACUGCUGUUCGUAGCCCGAGGAUUCGUGUCUCGUGCUUCUUCCUCGGGUAUGGACUGAACGAGCUCCACGUGCUCCGUCUUAAUGGGAGUCGGUUCACAGCUGCAGGCGCCGUCUGCAGAGACCGUGUCAAAGACUCCGCGUCUCCUACAGGUGCGAGCCCAGAACAUCUGGCUGGCACAUUUCAAACGCUCCGAGAAGCAGGAGGGGUGGAGGGAGGCCACAGCGGAGGGCCGAACCACAGUCAUUAAACUGGGAGGACUGGGGGGGCGGGGCGGGGACUACACCGCGCCAUGCACCUGCUCCACGCACGUCUGUCUGGCCGCAAACCAGUAUUCCUCCACUAUGUGUUCAUCGCAGCACAGUGGCCACCCAUCGAAAACAACAACAAGGCUGAAAAGUCAGACAUCUGGAGCCGAUCGAGACCACAGUGGUUCAUCAGCCAUGGAAGGGGAAUACCAGCCUACAGAUUUAGAUGUGUUUUUUCAGGGCAUGGGCCAAUGAGUAGUGAUGACGCAACACUUUUAAAGCUAGAAAUCGUCUCAAGUCUGACGCUGUGUGAACCGAUCCUUUGACCCGAUUUAAGAACACAAUGUAUUGUGUCUGUGUUCAAAACACCCCCACAAACAAAGGGGAAUUGUUAAUUUUUCCCAAUUUCCACAGAUUGAAAAUUGGUGAGAGCUGUUAUUUACAGACUUGGACCUCUUAAUUUUUUCCUGCUGAAUUAUUUGUAAGUUCUUAAAGAAAUAAAAAUUGACAGGUGAGGUGUGAAAAUAGGCA
Molecule: long non-coding RNA, 1291 nt
Filed under: Betta splendens (Siamese fighting fish)
Lineage: Eukaryota; Metazoa; Chordata; Actinopteri; Anabantiformes; Osphronemidae
Description: lncRNA (ENSBSLG00000023716.1)
Source: RNAcentral